GAUGAACGCUGGCGGCGUGCCUAAUACAUGCAAGUCGAGCGAACGGACGAGAAGCUUGCUUCUCUGAUGUUAGCGGCGGACGGGUGAGUAACACGUGGAUAACCUACCUAUAAGACUGGGAUAACUUCGGGAAACCGGAGCUACUACCGGAUAAUAUUUUCAACCGCAUGGUUCAAAAGUGAAAGACGGUCUUGCUGUCACUUAUAGAUGGAUCCGCGCUGCAUUAGCUAGUUGGUAAGGUAACGGCUUACCAAGGCAACGAUGCAUAGCCGACCUGAGAGGGUGAUCGGCCACACUGGAACUGAGACACGGUCCAGACUCCUACGGGAGGCAGCAGUAGGGAAUCUUCCGGAAUGGGCGAAAGCCUGACGGAGCAACGCCGCGAGAGUGAUGAAGGUCUUCGGAUCGUAAAACUCUGUUAUGAGGGAAGAACAUAUGUGUAAGUAACUGUGCACAUCUUGACGGUACCUACUCAGAAAGCCACGGCUAACUACGU
RNAcentral lists this ribosomal RNA (496 nucleotides) under uncultured bacterium. Its description in RNAcentral is "partial 16S ribosomal RNA". It matches the Rfam family "Bacterial small subunit ribosomal RNA", at positions 28 to 506 of the family's 1533-position model. The record is from RNAcentral.